ACGGGGUGCAGCAGGCGCGAAACCUCCGCAAUGCGGGAAACCGUGACGGGGUCACCCCGAGUGCCCCGAAGAGGGGCUUUUCCCCGCUGUAAAAAGGCGGGGGAAUAAGCGGGGGGCAAGUCUGGUGUCAGCCGCCGCGGUAAUACCAGCUCCGCGAGUGGUCGGGGUGUUUACUGGGCUUAAAGCGCCCGUAGCCGGCCCGGCAAGUCGCUCCUGAAAUCCCAGGGCUCAACCCGGGGGCGGGGGGCGAUACUGCCGGGCUAGGGGGCGGGAGAGGCCGCCGCUACUCCGGGGGUAGGGGCGAAAUCCGUUAAUCCCCGGAGGACCACCAGUGGCGAAAGCGGGCGGCCAGAACGCGCCCGACGGUGAGGGGCGAAAGCCGGGGGAGCAAAGGGGAUUAGAUACCCCUGUAGUCCCGGCCGUAAACGAUGCGGGCUAGCUGUCGGCCGGGCUUAGGGCCCGGCCGGUGGCGAAGGGAAACCGUUAAGCCCGCCGCCUGGGGAGUACGGCCGCAAGGCUGAAACUUAAAGGAAUUGGCGGGGGAGCAC
This 548-nucleotide ribosomal RNA is filed under the name uncultured archaeon. RNAcentral describes it as "partial 16S ribosomal RNA". It matches the Rfam family "Archaeal small subunit ribosomal RNA", at positions 325 to 879 of the family's 1478-position model. The record is from RNAcentral.